RNAcentral lists this ribosomal RNA (749 nucleotides) under uncultured Lachnospiraceae bacterium. RNAcentral's name for it is "bacterial SSU rRNA". It matches the Rfam family "Bacterial small subunit ribosomal RNA", at positions 30 to 776 of the family's 1533-position model. Lineage: Bacteria; Bacillati; Bacillota; Clostridia; Lachnospirales; Lachnospiraceae. The record is from RNAcentral.
UGAACGCUGGCGGCGUGCUUAACACAUGCAAGUCGAACGAAGCACUCUAUUUGAUUUUCUUCGGAAAUGAAGAUUUUGUGACUGAGUGGCGGACGGGUGAGUAACGCGUGGGUAACCUGCCUCAUACAGGGGGAUAACAGUUGGAAACGACUGCUAAUACCGCAUAAGCGCACAGGAUCGCAUGAUCCGGUGUGAAAAACUCCGGUGGUAUGGGAUGGACCCGCGUCUGAUUAGCCAGUUGGCAGGGUAACGGCCUACCAAAGCGACGAUCAGUAGCCGACCUGAGAGGGUGACCGGCCACAUCGGGACUGAGACACGGCCCAAACUCCUACGGGAGGCAGCAGUGGGGUAUAUUGCACAAUGGGGGAAACCCUGAUGCAGCGACGCCGCGUGAGCGAAGAAGUAUUUCGGUAUGUAAAGCUCUAUCAGCAGGGAAGAAGAAUGACGGUACCUGACUAAGAAGCACCGGCUAAAUACGUGCCAGCAGCCGCGGUAAUACGUAUGGUGCAAGCGUUAUCCGGAUUUACUGGGUGUAAAGGGAGCGCAGGCGGUGCGGCAAGUCUGAUGUGAAAGCCCGGGGCUCAACCCCGGUACUGCAUUGGAAACUGUCGUACUAGAGUGUCGGAGGGGUAAGUGGAAUUCCUAGUGUAGCGGUGAAAUGCGUAGAUAUUAGGAGGAACACCAGUGGCGAAGGCGGCUUACUGGACGAUAACUGACGCUGAGGCUCGAAAGCGUGGGGAGCAAACAGG